GCUCUGGUGGCUCAAUCCGAUAGAGCAUUGGACUUCUAAUCCAAAGGUUGCGGGUUCAAGUCCCG
This 65-nucleotide transfer RNA is filed under the name Perkinsus marinus ATCC 50983. It matches the Rfam family "tRNA", at positions 1 to 62 of the family's 71-position model. From Rfam's summary of the family: Transfer RNA (tRNA) molecules are approximately 80 nucleotides in length. Lineage: Eukaryota; Perkinsozoa; Perkinsida; Perkinsidae. The record is from Rfam by way of RNAcentral.